AGUGAACGCUGGCGGUAGGCCUAACACAUGCAAGUCGAACGGCAGCACAGUAAGAGCUUGUCCUUACGGGUGGCGAGUGGCGGACGGGUGAGGAAUACAUCGAAAUCUACUUUUACGUGGGGGCUAACGUAGGGAACCACUCGUUAUUACCGCAUCCGACUUACGGGUGAAUCCAGGGGAUCUUCGGACCUUCCGCGACAGAAAGACCCGAGGUCGGGUUAGCUAGUUGGUGGGGUAAAGGCCCACCAAGGCGACGAUCCGUAGCUGGUGUGAGAGGAUGACGGGCCAAACGGGAACUGGGACACGGUCCGACCUCCGAGGGGGGGAGGCGGUGGGGAAUUUUGGACAAUGGGCGCAAUCCGGAUCCGGCCAUACCGCGUGGUUGAAGAAGGCCUUCGGGUUGUAAAGCCCUUUUGUUGGGAAAGAAAAGCAGCAGGUUAAUACCCCGCUGUUCUGACGGUACCCAAAGAAUAAGCAACGGCUAACUUCGUG
Molecule: ribosomal RNA, 492 nt
Filed under: uncultured bacterium
Lineage: Bacteria
Description: partial 16S ribosomal RNA
Rfam family: Bacterial small subunit ribosomal RNA
Source: RNAcentral